UACGUAGGGGGCGAGCGUUGUCCGGAUUCAUUGGGCGUAAAGAGCUCGUAGGCGGCUUGUCAAGUCGGGUGUGAAACCUCCAGGCUCAACCUGGGGACGCCACUCGAUACUGCUGUGACUUGAGUCCGGUAGGGGAGCGUGGAAUUCCUGGUGUAGCGGUGAAAUGCGCAGAUAUCAGGAGGAACACCAGCGGCGAAGGCGGCGCUCUGGGCCGGUACUGACACUGAGGAGCGAAAGCGUGGGUAGCAAACAGG
Molecule: ribosomal RNA, 254 nt
Filed under: uncultured bacterium
Lineage: Bacteria
Description: partial 16S ribosomal RNA
Rfam family: Bacterial small subunit ribosomal RNA
Source: RNAcentral